UGUAGUCAUAUGCUUGUCUCAAAGAUUAAGCCAUGCAUGUCUAAGUAUAAGCACUUUAUACCGUGAAACUGCGAAUGGCUCAUUAAAUCAGUUAUCGUUUAUUUGAUAGUACCUUACUACAUGGAUACCUGUGGUAAUUCUAGAGCUAAUACAUGCUAAAAACCCCGACUCCGGGAGGGGUGUAUUUAUUAGAUAAAAAACCAAUGCCCCUCGGGGCUCCUUGGUGAAUCAUAAUAACUUAACGAAUCGCAUGGCCUUGCGCCGGCGAUGGUUCAUUCAAAUUUCUGCCCUAUCAACUUUCGAUGGUAGGAUAGUGGCCUACCAUGGUGGCAACGGGUAACGGGGAAUUAGGGUUCGAUUCCGGAGAGGGAGCCUGAGAAACGGCUACCACAUCCAAGGAAGGCAGCAGGCGCGCAAAUUACCCAAUCCCGACACGGGGAGGUAGUGACAAUAAAUACUGAUACGGGGCUCUUUUGGGUCUCGUAAUUGGAAUGAGAACAAUCUAAAUCCCUUAACGAGGAACAAUUGGAGGGCAAGUCUGGUGCCAGCA
This 550-nucleotide ribosomal RNA is filed under the name uncultured fungus. RNAcentral describes it as "SSU rRNA". It matches the Rfam family "Eukaryotic small subunit ribosomal RNA", at positions 21 to 572 of the family's 1831-position model. Lineage: Eukaryota; Fungi. The record is from RNAcentral.